AUGGCUAGUAAUUGGAGUUUCAGACAAUUUGGGGAGGUAAUUUGUAGCCAAUAUCCUUGGGGUUUGCUUGAUGAAGUGGUAUACAAAUACUAUGAUGGGGAAAAGAAUUGGGUGACAAUUAGUAAUGAUGAAGAGCUAGCUACCAUGUUUGUUAGGCAUAAAGAGAAAGAUAAUUUUCAUGUGAGGCUGCAAGUUGAUGUGCUUGAGCAGGCAUUUGGACCUAGGAUGGCGGGUGCAACAUCUCGGGGAGAAUCAAGUCGUCGUAAUGGCAUCUCUAGCCAGCACAGUUCAGUUGGUGCACGGCGACGUGGUGGCUCGACAAGUGUGGGCAACAGCAGUAGAGCCCCCCUUGAAGUGGAGCCUGAUGGCUACAAUUCUGGGGUUGAUGAAGAGAAGUUAUAUUCUGAUGUUAUUCAGAAUUUACGACGGGCACCUCGGGCUGAAAACCAAGAUGAGGCUCACAAUGCAGUCCGUGUGGAUGAUGACGCGAUGGGUGAGGACGAAGACCUUGCAGCUGUUGAAUGGGACCCUUUGAACCCUCAAAUGGAAGAAGGUACAGUUUUUGCAUCCAUGAAUGAGUGUAGAAAUGCACUUGUGACAUACUGCAUCAAGGUAGAACGUACUUUCAAAGUUGACAAGAGCGAUCAAGUACGUUACAGAGUGCACUGUCCGACUGAGGGUUGUCCAUGGAGGCUGCUUGCAGCUAAAAUGUGGAAUAGCACUAAUGUUCAGGUCAAAGUGAAUCCUUUUAAACACACAUGCUAG
This 765-nucleotide ribosomal RNA is filed under the name Triticum aestivum (bread wheat). Its description in RNAcentral is "partial small subunit ribosomal RNA". Lineage: Eukaryota; Viridiplantae; Streptophyta; Magnoliopsida; Poales; Poaceae. The record is from RNAcentral.